Molecule: ribosomal RNA, 460 nt
Filed under: uncultured bacterium
Lineage: Bacteria
Description: partial 16S ribosomal RNA
Rfam family: Bacterial small subunit ribosomal RNA
Source: RNAcentral
CCUACGGGCGGCAGCAGUGAGGAAUAUUGGUCAAUGGACGCAACUCUGAACCAGCCAAGUAGCGUGAAGGAUGACUGCCCUAUGGGUUGUAAACUUCUUUUAUGUGGGAAUAAAAUGUUCCACGUGUGGGAUUUUGUAUGUACCAUAUGAAUAAGGAUCGACUAACUCCGUGCCAGCAGCCGCGGUAAUACGGAGGGUCCGGGCGUUAUCCGGAUUUAUUGGGUUUAAAGGGAGCGUAGGUGGCUGCUUAAGUGAGUUGUGAAAGUGUGCGGCUCAACCGUAACACUGCAGUGCAAACUGGCAGUCUUGAGUACAGCAGAGGUGGGCGGAAUUCGUGGUGUAGCGGUGAAAUGCUUAGAUAUCACGAAGAACUCCGAUUGCGAAGGCAGUCUACCGGACUGUAACUGACACUGAGGCUCGAAAGUGCGGGUAUCAAACAGGAUUAGAUACCCGAGUAGUC